GCAUGUUCACAUGAUUAAAGGUAUUCCGGUAGACGAUGGGGAUGCGUUCCAUUAGAUAGUAGGCGGGGUAACGGCCCACCUAGUCUUCGAUGGAUAGGGGUUCUGAGAGGAAGGUCCCCCACAUUGGAACUGAGACACGGUCCAAACUCCUACGGGAGGCAGCAGUGAGGAAUAUUGGUCAAUGGGCGAGAGCCUGAACCAGCCAAGUAGCGUGAAGGAUGACUACCCUAUGGGUUGUAAACUUCUUUUAUAAAGGAAUAAAGUCGGGUAUGCAUACCUGUUUGCAUGUACUUUAUGAAUAAGGAUCGGCUAACUCCGUGCCAGCAGCCGCGGUAAUACGGAGGAUCCGAGCGUUAUCCGGAUUUAUUGGGUUUAAAGGGAGCGUAGAUGGAUGUUUAAGUCAGUUGUGAAAGUUUGCGGCUCAACCGUAAAAUUGCAGUUGAUACUGGAUAUCUUGAGUGCAGUUGAGGCAGGCGGAAUUCGUGGUGUAGCGGUGAAAUGCUUAGAUAUCACGAAGAACUCCGAUUGCGAAGGCAGCCUGCUAAGCUGCAACUGACAUUGAGGCUCGAAAGUGUGGGUAUCAAACAGGAUUAGAUACCCUGGUAGUCCACACGGUAAACGAUGAAUACUCGCUGUUUGCGAUAUACAGCAAGCGGCC
This 658-nucleotide ribosomal RNA is filed under the name uncultured bacterium. RNAcentral describes it as "bacterial SSU rRNA". It matches the Rfam family "Bacterial small subunit ribosomal RNA", at positions 187 to 848 of the family's 1533-position model. The record is from RNAcentral.